CCGGGGUCCGAGCUCGGGCCCGCCUCCGCCUCCGCCAGCUCCUGUGAGCUGCCGAGUGCUAGGCACCCGGGCUCUUCUGGGGGCUCCAGAGGCGCCGCCCAAGAGACCCUGGGCCGGCGCCGGGCGCAGCUGCCUCUCCGUCUUUGUGUCUGUCUCUGUGUCUGUCUGGCUAUCUCCGAGUUUGCCUCCGCUUCCAGAACUAAGCCACCCAGACACCAUCAUCCCGAAAACCCCAGCCCUUCUCCCAUGGCAGGUAAGUGCGCGCAAGUCUGGGGGUCUCCGUUAUCCCCCCCACGGACUUGGGAGCCGGGUUUGAACACAUCCUCCCGGAAUGUGCUCGGACUGGCUGGGUGGGGCCCCUCCCUUCCUUCCGGGGAACCUCCACCCUGCUCCCCUGCCCCAUCUUUCUCUGCCUCUUGCCACCACGUUUCCCCCGAAGCCUCGCGGCCCAUGGGCUGAGGAAUAAGGGGAUGAGGCCUUGAGUCCCUUUCUAAUCUAUCCUGCUCCCACCGCUUUACAGGCUACUUGCCCCCCAAAGGCUACGCCCCUUCGCCCCCACCUCCCUACCCUGUCACCCCUGGGUACCCGGAGUCGGCGCUACAUCCUGGGCCCGGGCAGGCGCCAGUGCCCGCCCAGGUACCUGCCCCAGCUCCCGGCUUCGCCCUCUUCCCCUCGCCUGGCCCCGUGGCCUCGGGGUCUGCUGCCCCCUUCUUGCCACUGCCAGGGGUGCCUUCUGGCCUCGAAUUCCUGGUGCAGAUUGAUCAGAUUUUGAUUCACCAGAAGGCUGAGCGAGUGGAAACGUUCCUAGGCUGGGAGACCUGUAAUCGGUAUGAACUGCGCUCUGGGGCCGGGCAGCCCCUGGGUCAGGCGGCCGAGGAGAGCAACUGCUGCGCCCGUCUGUGCUGUGGCGCCCGCCGGCCGCUGCGUGUCCGCCUGGCCGACCCCGGGGACCGUGAGGUGCUGCGUUUGCUCCGCCCGCUGCACUGUGGCUGCAGCUGCUGCCCCUGUGGCCUCCAGGAGAUGGAAGUACAGGCUCCACCAGGCACCACCAUUGGCCACGUGCUACAGACCUGGCAUCCCUUCCUCCCCAAGUUCUCCAUCCAGGAUGCCGAUCGCCAGACAGUCUUGCGAGUGGUGGGGCCCUGCUGGACCUGUGGCUGUGGCACAGACACCAACUUUGAGGUGAAGACUCGGGAUGAAUCCCGCAGUGUGGGCCGCAUCAGCAAGCAGUGGGGGGGCCUGGUCCGAGAAGCCCUCACGGAUGCAGAUGACUUUGGCCUACAGUUCCCGCUGGACCUGGAUGUGAGGGUGAAGGCUGUGCUGCUGGGAGCCACGUUCCUCAUUGACUACAUGUUCUUUGAGAAGCGAGGAGGCGCUGGGCCCUCUGCCAUCACCAGUUAGAGGCCACCAUGGUGUGAGGAGACCAUCACCUCGACCAGAACUCCAGAUGGUCACCUGCCCUGGCCCCUCCUCUGGGCAGCCCCUUUCCUCCAUGUACACUGCAGGGGACAGAAGGGGGGCCCCAUCCCUACCCUACUCCCUGGCCGCCUGCCCCUGUGGUUCCCAAGGAGGGGUAUGUAUGAGAGCCGCUCUCCUGCUACCUCCCACCACUGUCCCAGCAGUCCCUCGGCACACAGGCAUAUCAGCUUUCACACUUUCCCCAUGCACUCUCUCCCACCCCCUUCCAGGGCCUCUGCUCCAAAGGAGGCCUCUGGAACCCAGGACUCUGGGGUUUUACAAGAGGGCUGGGGUGUGGAAGGGCAAGCUGCACCAAAGACGGUGGAUAUAGCCACCGCCCCCCCCGCCGCUGCCUAGCAUCUGCUUGGCCAAUUAGUUCAGCCUCAGACCAUGGCACUUUGAGGGGGUCUCUACCUCCCCAUCAACAGCUGCAGGGGGACCCCAGUGCCAACUUCCUCUCCCACUAGGGCCCUGCCUUCAGCUGGUGCUUGCUGCGAUUCCUGUGCCUUAUGUAACUGCCCUUCCUUCCCUUGCCCUAGGAAAAAGGCUGCAUCUUUAUAUGUUACAUUCAUAUAAACUUUGUAACUUUUUGGACAUUG
Molecule: small RNA, 2057 nt
Filed under: Pan troglodytes (chimpanzee)
Lineage: Eukaryota; Metazoa; Chordata; Mammalia; Primates; Hominidae
Description: retained intron
Source: RNAcentral